GGAGAAAAGGCAGGGGAUCGAAAGACCUUGCGGCUAAAGGAGCGGCUGAUGUCUGAUUAGCUAGUUGGUGGGGUAAGGGCUUACCAAGGCAACGAUCAGUAGCUGGUCUGAGAGGACGACCAGCCACACUGGGACUGAGACACGGCCCAGACUCCUACGGGAGGCAGCAGUGGGGAAUUUUGGACAAUGGGCGAAAGCCUGAUCCAGCCAUGCCGCGUGAGUGAAGAAGGCCUUCGGGUUGUAAAGCUCUUUUAGUCGGAAAGAAAGAGUCAUAGUAAAUAGCUAUGAUUUAUGACGGUACCGACAGAAAAAGCACCGGCUAACUACGUGCCAGCAGCCGCGGUAAUACGUAGGGUGCGAGCGUUAAUCGGAAUUACUGGGCGUAAAGGGUGCGCAGGCGGCCUUGUAAGUCAGAUGUGAAAGCCCCUGGGCUUAACCUGGGAAUUGCGUUUGAAAC
RNAcentral lists this ribosomal RNA (457 nucleotides) under uncultured bacterium. RNAcentral's name for it is "bacterial SSU rRNA". It matches the Rfam family "Bacterial small subunit ribosomal RNA", at positions 198 to 633 of the family's 1533-position model. The record is from RNAcentral.